GGGAUGUGCUAGACGAAUGAUUUUGUUUUAUGGAGCUUUGAAGAGCGAUGAAUGGCACAAAAGUGGUGCCAAAUUGAUAUCUCAAACACCCAUUGUUGAUGUGUGAUGCUGAUAAUACAGAGACAGCUAGAGUGACAGAGUUUGAUGAAUAAACUUAAAUUAAAAAACAGAAAUAACCACCAUCUCUCUCAGAGGUCGUCUUUCUCAUUAUUGUGGGGAAACCUCAAAGGGCAUCAGGAAAACCUUCAUCAACCUCUUUGUGCCCAGUGGCUUGUGCAACAGUGUUUCAGAAAUUAUCAUUAAAAUGGGGAUAAUGGAUGACUGGCCACACAUAUGGGGCUAUGGACAAGCUUCAGAGCAGGCUGCUAGGUGGUGGUUUAGUAGUUUAUACUCCGGGUCCCGGCGUGAGCACAUUGAAGGGUCCCAGAGUGACAGUUCAACCACCGCACACCUAUCCUGGGCAGAACCAGUACUAGGUGCCUUCACCUCUGCAAGGAACUGACAACUUCUGUACAUGCCAGGGGCAGUGGUACAGUGCGAAUGGUCGUAGAAAGGAUUUCAUAACCAAUCACAACAGAGGUGACCUGGUCUGCCCGGGAAUCGAACCCGGGUUGUCAAAUUCAGAGUCCAACGCUCUACCGAUUGAGCUAACCGGGCGGACAUAUUAGCUACAUUAGAUGACAAGCCAUCUAUGCUGGACAUUCUUCACAAUAAAAUGUGAUGUCACAGGAGCUGUCUAUCUCAACAGCUCACACUCUCCGUAUUUGACUAAAGGAAUGAAUAAAGUCACGGCAGAAGUUGGAUUGAGGAAUGUCCAUGUCACUACCCAUCAUUUGGAAGGAGUUGGAUAAAAAAAGUGUGGCCUAUGUAUUGAAACUGGUCCGACAUUCCAGUUACGGACAGACUUGAUUUGUUUGAUUACAUUUCUGACCAACAUGAUGGUCUAAAAGAACACUUACUGGUAACUGGUAAAAUCAUGGCCCAGUUGUUCCAAGAGGCAGGCGAGUGGGAAGUUACUAGACUCCAUUUCUUUAUGGGUUGAUCUGAGGUUCCAGUUCAGUUAAAGUACUGAUGGAACACCAAGUGUUUGCCAUAAUACAGCAACAUUUGAUUUGUAACUAUGUAUUUGUUUAAAUUGUUGAAACAGUACUGUUUACUAAAUAAUGUGUAUAUAUAUGAAGAAUAAUAUUAUGAAUAAUUUGUAAGAACCUUUUGAUAUUAAGUAAAAUGUCGAUAAGUCUAAAUAUGUAUCUGUAAAUCAUUUUUGUAUAUCUGUAAAGAUUACAUUGCCUAUAUUCCUCAAUUUAUAUUUUUCUUUUAGCCAGUCAAUAACUUUUCUUCAGUUCUAUCUUCAAAAUUGUCGGGACAGGGAUUAUAGCCCUUAAUUAACCCAAAUAUGUAACAUUCAAUGCAAAAUUUCUAAUUGGCUGCAAUUAGGCAGUUCAGAUGCAGGAACAAACAUCACUUGGGUCCUUAAUAAUAGCUUUCCAUCUGACAAGGUUCAAUAAAAGGAAUUUGUCAUGUGACUGUUUAUUAACUCUCGAUUUAUUGAAAGUGAAAUUACUUACAUGAUUUGUAAGAACUAAAUUAUA
Molecule: long non-coding RNA, 1592 nt
Organism: Mya arenaria
Lineage: Eukaryota; Metazoa; Mollusca; Bivalvia; Myida; Myidae
Exons: 4
Source: RefSeq, a predicted model, not a curated record